UGAUUGCCCAUGUUCCCGCCAUGGCGGCUGAGGGGAUGCGGACCUCCCUCACGGCAACCUCAAAAUAAACCUUCCGCAAACCCCUGGAAGGGCCGUGCGGGAUUCCCAGUGAUUAUCAUCAAUGACUAAUUUGAGUUCCCAGAGACCCGCUGGUCUCAGGAGACAGCUGAGCCCUCUUUCAGCCUGGUGAUGGGUGGAGAGACAAGCCGCAGAACAGACAGCUCCAGGGAGGAAGCUCUUGGAAGUGGCAAUGCAGAUGUUCCUGUUUAUCUGGCCAUUGGAGGACACGAGAGCAACGUGCUCAGAGCUAUCAAGAACCUGAUCUUUUCAGCAAGCUGUUGUCAUGUCUAAAUGAAUUUAUCCAGCAGUUCUCACCCUGUGCUGACGAAGGUGGGCUUGGAGCUCUGGGCAGGUUUUACGUGAGGGGCUGCACAGGUGGGUAGAACAUUAAUUGCCAGCUAAUGAGUUCACAACUUUCAAAAAUAAAUGAGCUGGUAUAUUUUUCUAGAAGAGAAGU
Molecule: long non-coding RNA, 517 nt
Filed under: Cyanistes caeruleus (blue tit)
Lineage: Eukaryota; Metazoa; Chordata; Aves; Passeriformes; Paridae
Description: lncRNA (ENSCCEG00000006302.1)
Source: RNAcentral